CAGAAAGACUGAACCACGAUCGUCCAAUGGCAAGGGAGCCCGUAGAGAAGGCGGGACUUCCUCUCUGCAGGAUUCAGGCCCGGCCCUGCGGAAGGAGGGGGAGAUGUUUAAGUCCUUCAGACACAAAGACACUCAGAGCGACCUGCUGUAGUUCGGCUGCAGUCGCUUCUCCAGCGGGAGUGGUGCUUCACGAACUCGUGGACUGAGCAGCUCCUGUUCAGCGACUCAUGCUAAAGCGUAACUAAAUGACUGUUGUUGUAAAUGUGGGGGAAGUGAAAGUGAACCAGUGAGUCGCAGGAAACCUGCCCGAGGCAGCAGAGGGAACUGAAAACUGUAGAGCAGUAGAGUAGUACAUUAGUUUAUAGCUCUGUGCUCAUGUACACUGGCUCCCUGAUUCACACUUUUCUCUCAGAGACGUACACAUAGAACAGCAGACUACCCCACACAAUGUAGACGUUACAUUUCAAACAUAGUAAAUAAUAACAACCAGAAUGAACUGAGUGCUUUAAUCAGGCUGGGAGGGAAGUCCCGAUGUUCAGCAAAACCCCUCCAGCCACAAAAGGAAUGUGACCUCCGGGGGUGGGAUAGCUCAGUGUUUGAGCUUGGCAGCAGUGUACAGAGGUUUGUGUGUACUGAGUAUACUGAGGACUGCGUGGCAGGGGGAGAAGGAAGUAGUGUGUUUCUGACACUGCACAGCGCCCCGGGGAAAGUUCAAACACUCUUUUUCCAAAGGAACACAACUCCCAUGAGAUCAGAAUUUAUUUGACCUUUGUUUUCACUUUGUAACGCACAACCUCCGACGUCAUUUCAGCAGGUGAACACCUGGAAAAAUGGGUUGGAUAAGUGUUCACACCCCUCAGGAAGAGCAAUGGUAAAUCAGCUCCGGUGUGACCUAUUACCUCCCACAUGACACAACAAGCCAAUCAGCCUCCCCCCCGUUCAACUGGAGCGGUUCUGAUGACUUCAGAACAGAAGCAGCCCUUCCUGUCGCUCUCCUCUGCUGGGUAGUGUGUCCCCAGGUGAAGACACAACUGUGCCAACAAGGUCAAAUGUCCUCUGGGACAAUGUGGAAAGGCACAGACCGGGAGAUGGAUUUGAAAAGAUUGCAGAGGCCGUACAUCUCUGUCGGAACGCAGUCGAGAGCAUCGUUUAGAAGUGAGAGGAGUUUGGCACCACCCAGACCCUGUCUAGUUCAGGCCGUCAGUCCCUACCAGAUGACCAGGCCAGAAGGAGUCUGAUCAGAGAGGCCGCUAGGAGACCAGUGGCAACUUUGAAAGAGCUGCAGGCCUUCACUGCUUGGCUUCGUGACUGGGCAAACUGCACCUGUGACGGCAAAAUAUCCCCGGCACUCCACGGAUCGGCCUUAUCUCUUCCACGUAGGGAUCGAAUCAGUUAUUGCUGCACUUUACAGGAGAUCGUCCGUAUCCACCCAGCUUCGUUCGAUUCAUCAUGCUAGGCACCUCUUCAGCCUGAUCCAGUUACAGAAAAAAUAUCCACACUGCCACAGUGGUGGUGGUCUCCCUGGAUGCAGAGGAUGCAAGAUAUCAGAUGGGGAACUGCGUAACAGCUCAUCAACUGUCAUUCUCAUAGAAGCAUGGAGAUCCAAAAGACCGGGACAGCGAUUCGAUGAGCCACGUCACAGAGAGAGUGUGGAACGAGCAUGAGCAGUAAGGCUGAUUUGAAUACCCAGAGUCCUCGGCCUGCUGUCUCCACCGUGUCUCUGACUGCAGGCAGGCUGUGAGCUGGAGGGGUGUGGGAAUGUGGCUCUGCAGGCUGGGCGGGGCUGAGCUGGCCAAACAGGUCUGCUCUGCUACAGCGAGGGCAGGGAGUGAAUUGUGUACCUGGACUAGUCAACACUACAGUCAGGUACCGCUCACAGUACUGGGGAUUAUACUGGAGAGGAGGCUUCACCUUUCAAUUCAUAGCCAUCUCUCUACAGCUGCCACAGAGCCACAUUGCAGAGACACUGAUCCGGGAGCUGGACUGUGUGAGGUCAGUGCUGAAGAGGGGUCAGAGGACAAGACUGAAGCUGCUGUGUGCUGGAGGGACA
Molecule: non-coding RNA, 2050 nt
Organism: Lepisosteus oculatus (spotted gar)
Lineage: Eukaryota; Metazoa; Chordata; Actinopteri; Semionotiformes; Lepisosteidae
Source: RefSeq, a predicted model, not a curated record